CACGUAGGGUGCGAGCGUUGUCCGGAAUUAUUGGGCGUAAAGAGCUCGUAGGCGGCCAACUAAGUCGGACGUGAAAUCCCUCGGCUUAACCGGGGAACUGCGUCCGAUACUGGAUGGCUUGAGUUCGGGAGAGGGAUGCGGAAUUCCAGGUGUAGCGGUGAAAUGCGUAGAUAUCUGGAGGAACACCGGUGGCGAAGGCGGCAUCCUGGGACACUUCCUGACACUGAGGCACGAAAGCUAGGGGAGCAAACAGG
RNAcentral lists this ribosomal RNA (254 nucleotides) under uncultured bacterium. RNAcentral's name for it is "partial 16S ribosomal RNA". It matches the Rfam family "Bacterial small subunit ribosomal RNA", at positions 524 to 776 of the family's 1533-position model. The record is from RNAcentral.